RNAcentral lists this ribosomal RNA (468 nucleotides) under uncultured bacterium. RNAcentral describes it as "partial 16S ribosomal RNA". It matches the Rfam family "Bacterial small subunit ribosomal RNA", at positions 28 to 507 of the family's 1533-position model. The record is from RNAcentral.
GACGAACGCUGGCGGCGUGCUUAACACAUGCAAGUCGAACGGAAAGGCCCUGCUUUUGUGGGGUGCUCGAGUGGCGAACGGGUGAGUAACACGUGAGUAACCUGCCCUUGACUUUGGGAUAACUUCAGGAAACUGGGGCUAAUACCGGAUAGGAGCUCCUGCUGCAUGGUGGGGGGUGGAAAGUUUAGGCGGUUGGGGAUGGACGCGCGGCUGAUCAGCUUGUUGGUGGGGUAGUGGCUUACCAAGGCUUUGGCGGGUAGCCGGCCUGAGAGGGUGACCGGCCACAUUGGGACUGAGAGACGGCCCAGACUCCUACGUGAGGCAGAAGUGGGGAAUAUUGCACAAUGGGCGGAAGCCUGAUGCAGCAACGCCGCGUUCGGGAUGACGGCCUUCGGGUUGUAAACCGCUUUCGCCUGUGACGAAGCGUGAGUGACGGUAAUGGGUAAAGAAGCACCGGCUAACUACGUG